CGAGUCCGAGGAGCUAAGGCUCCAAAGUGAUGCGAGUCAGACUUCCCAGAAAAGCCCGAACCACGUUAAUUUCUAAUUACCUGUACCCGAAACCGACACAGGUGGGUAGGUAGAGUAUACUAAGGGGCGCGAGAUAACUCUCUCUAAGGAACUCGGCAAAAUGACUCCGUAACUUCGGGAGAAGGAGUGCCUUAUUUAUAAGGUUGCAAUAACAAGAUCCAAGCAACUGUUUAUCAAAAACACAGGUCUCCGCUAAGUCGUAAGACGAUGUAUGGGGGCUGACGCCUGCCCAGUGCCAGAAGGUUAAAGAAGUUGGUUAGUGUAUGCGAAGCUGAUGACUGAAGCCCUGGUGAACGGCGGCCGUAACGAUAACGGUCCUAAGGUAGCGAAAUUCCUUGUCGGGUAAGUUCCGACCCGCACGAAAGGCGUAAUGAUUUGGAUACUGUCUCGGAGAGAGGCUCGGUGAAAUAGACUUGUCUGUGAAGAUGCGGACUACCUGCACCAGGACAGAAAGACCCUAUGAAGCUUUACUGUAACUUGAAAUUGGAAUUGGACUUUGCUUGCGCAGUAUAGGUGGGAAGCGUUGAAGAUAUUCUUGCGGGAGUAUUGGAGCUAUCAGUGAGAUACCACUCUUGUAAUGUUAGAUUUCUAACUUUGAACCAUAAUCUGGUCAAAGAACAGUUUCAGGUGGGCAGUUUGACUGGGGCGGUCGCCUCCCAAAUGGUAACGGAGGCGUACAAAGGUUUCCUCUGAACGGAUAGAAAUCGUAUCUAGAGUGUAAAGGCAUAAGGAAGCUUGACUGUGAGACCUACAAGUCGAGCAGGGACGAAAGUCGGUCUUAGUGAUCUGACGGUACUGAGUGGAAAGGCCGUCACUCAACGGAUAAAAGUUACUCUAGGAUAACAGGCUGAUCUCCCCCAAGAGUUCACAUCGACGGGGAGGUUUGGCACCUCGAUGUCGGCUCAUCGCAUCCUGGGGCGGUAGUACGUCCCAAGGGUUGGGCUGUUCGCCCAUGAAAGCGGUACGCGAGCUGGGUUCAGAACGUCGUGAGACAGUUCGGUCCAUAUCCGGUGUAGGCGUUAGAAUAUUGAGAGGAGCCUUCUUUAGUACGAGAGGACCGAGAAGGACACACCGCUGGUGUACCAGUUAUCGUGCCAACGGUAAACGCUGGGUAGCUAUGUGUGGAGUGGAUAACCGCUGAAAGCAUCUAAGUGGGAAGCCCACCUCAAGAUGAGUAUUCUC
Molecule: ribosomal RNA, 1242 nt
Filed under: metagenome
Description: bacterial LSU rRNA
Rfam family: Bacterial large subunit ribosomal RNA
Source: RNAcentral